Molecule: non-coding RNA, 94 nt
Organism: Orbilia brochopaga
Lineage: Eukaryota; Fungi; Ascomycota; Orbiliomycetes; Orbiliales; Orbiliaceae
Source: the annotation of a GenBank genome assembly
GGGGAAAUGGCGCAGCGGUAGCGCGUCUGCUUUGCAUUGCCCUUCCAGCAGUUCGAAGUGCAGAAGGUCUGGGGUUCGAGACCCCAUUUCUCCA